CGGGUUUGGCAGGACGUUACU
Molecule: non-coding RNA, 21 nt
Filed under: Arabidopsis thaliana (thale cress)
Lineage: Eukaryota; Viridiplantae; Streptophyta; Magnoliopsida; Brassicales; Brassicaceae
Source: RNAcentral